UACGGAGGGUGCAAGCGUUAUCCGGAUUCACUGGGCUUAAAGGGUGCGUAGGCGGGUUGGCAAGUCCGUGGUGAAAUCCCCAAGCUUAACUUGGGAACUGCCGUGGAUACUAUCAAUCUUGAAUAUCGUGGAGGUAAGCGGAAUAUGUCAUGUAGCGGUGAAAUGCUUAGAUAUGACAUAGAACACCAAUUGCGUAGGCAGCUUACUACACGAUCAUUGACGCUGAGGCACGAAAGCGUGGGGAGCAAACAGG
RNAcentral lists this ribosomal RNA (253 nucleotides) under uncultured bacterium. RNAcentral's name for it is "partial 16S ribosomal RNA". It matches the Rfam family "Bacterial small subunit ribosomal RNA", at positions 524 to 776 of the family's 1533-position model. The record is from RNAcentral.